AUGGACUUAGAGGAUUUUACCACUGCUUGCAAACUUCCGCAAUGGGGUAGUGCUAGUGAACCCCACAAAUCUGAAUUUAGAAAUUUUCUUGCUAGUAUAACUGUGGGGGAAUCUAGAGAUAUAGCACAAGCUACCAUAGGGAGCAUUCAUUUUCCUGCUAUACAUUAUUUUGCUCUCUUCAUAGGUAGGUGCAUAAAUGGUAAAGAUGAAGCAUGUCAUAUGUGUGUCCCUGACCUCAGUAUUCUUAGGAGUGCUGUGUUAGGAGACAAAUCUUAUAAUUUGGGAGCCAUUGUUGCACGUAGGUUGCAUAAUAAUAGAUUUAAUGGAGAUUUCUUCGGUGGAAUUUAUGCAACCCACUUAGCUGAUUUUCUUGGUGUAACCAUGCGUAAUGAUGAUAUUGAAUUGCCUCCUGCUUACCUAGACUUUAAUGCUAUGGUUCACCACCAGUUUGUUGAGAGGAAUGAAUCACCUCUCCAGUAUCGCUUAAUCUUUGACAGACGCCGUGCUGUCCGUAUUACUCUCCCUGCUCCUGCCUUCUUUGAUUAUCAGGAAAAAGGAAGAUAUGUUAUUACCAGAGAGGAGGCAGAUGAGUACGAGAGGAGGGCGGAGGCCGCUCGUCGCCACGCUGCAGCUCAGGAGGCGAUAGCCGCUGCAUCUCAGUACGACCCCGGCUACAACUAUGGAUAUCCGCCAGGCUAUCCGUGGCAAUAA
This 711-nucleotide ribosomal RNA is filed under the name Triticum aestivum (bread wheat). Its description in RNAcentral is "partial small subunit ribosomal RNA". The record is from RNAcentral. Lineage: Eukaryota; Viridiplantae; Streptophyta; Magnoliopsida; Poales; Poaceae.